This 253-nucleotide ribosomal RNA is filed under the name uncultured bacterium. RNAcentral's name for it is "partial 16S ribosomal RNA". It matches the Rfam family "Bacterial small subunit ribosomal RNA", at positions 524 to 776 of the family's 1533-position model. The record is from RNAcentral.
UACGAAGGGUGCGAGCGUUAUUCGGAGUGAUUGGGCGUAAAGGGUGCGUAGGCUGUGCGUUAAGUCAACUGUCAAAUUCCCUAGCUCAACUAGGGGCAGGCGGUUGAAACUGGCGUGCUUGAGGGUGGAAGAGAGAAGUGGAAUUCUCGGAGUAGCGGUAAAAUGCGUAGAUCUCGAGAGGAACACCGAUGGCGAAGGCAGCUUCUUGGUCCAUUCCUGACGCUGAGGCACGAAAGCGUGGGGAGCAAACAGG